GAUGAAGAACGUAGCGAAAUGCGAUAACUAAUGUGAAUUGCAGAAUUCAGUGAAUCAUCGAGUCUUUGAACGCACAUUGCGCCCCCUGGUAUUCCGGGGGGCAUGCCUGUCCGAGCGUCAUUGCUGCCCUCAAGCACGGCUUGUGUGUUGGGCUCCGUCCCCCCGGGGACGGGCCCGAAAGGCAGCGGCGGCACCGAGUCCGGUCCUCGAGCGUAUGGGGCUUUGUCACCCGCUCUGUAGGCCCGGCCGGCGCCAGCCGACAACCCAUCAUCCUUUUCAGGUUGACCUCGGAUCAGGUAGGGAUACCCGCUGAACUUAAGCAUAUCAAUUAAGCGGAGGA
This 340-nucleotide unclassified non-coding RNA is filed under the name soil metagenome. RNAcentral's name for it is "partial contains 5.8S ribosomal RNA, internal transcribed spacer 2, and large subunit ribosomal RNA". The stretch from base 1 to 120 matches the Rfam family "5.8S ribosomal RNA", at positions 35 to 154 of the family's 154-position model. The record is from RNAcentral.